Cryptomeria japonica (Japanese cedar) is the source of this 1591-nucleotide long non-coding RNA. RefSeq lists it as uncharacterized. The transcript has 2 exons. Lineage: Eukaryota; Viridiplantae; Streptophyta; Pinopsida; Cupressales; Cupressaceae. The record is from RefSeq and is a predicted model, not a curated record.
UUGACACUCCGGAAAGAAGAAUAAAAGAGACGGGAGACAUUCCACUAAAUGGUGGAUAUAAAACUGUGUGUCCUGUCAUUGUAAUCACAACAAUGAAUGAAAUUAGGCCUAAAAGACAAACCUUAACAGCGCAGUCUUUGAGGCCCGAUUUCAUCACUUUUGAGUCUUGGAAGUGCUACAGAUCUCAGAGAUGAGUUUAACACAAGAUACCAAUGAUGAGGGAGCACGCAAGACAGCCAAUGAGGAAGAUGCAGAUGGAGCUUGGUAAAAUCAAUUGUAUUCCGUGGGACAAUGUAAAUGUCUAAGGUUUUCUAAACACUCCUUGGCCUCUAUGGGUUUUUUUGCUGCUUUGGCUCUUUUCAACUUAUUUUUAGGCUGGCAACUCGGAAAGUUUUUCAUCUUCCCAAUGUUAUUAUGAUUUGAGUUCAUUGUGGAGUCUUUGUAUUCCGUCAAAAUGUGCAAUACAUUAAACCUGAGAUUUUCCAAUAUGUUUUACUUCAUAUACCUGGUCUAUUAUUUUUUACUACGUGUUGUUGCUUUGGGCGGAAAUUUACUAUCAGACACGUAUCAUGUCAACAAACGGUCUUAGACCUACAUCCAUGACAAUCAAUGUUGUAAUUUAUCUGUUUUGGAUAUACAUAAGUCUGUGGUCUAUUAAUUUCUAUGAUUUAUCUCUUCAUUGGGGUGAUGGAUCUCCCAAAAAAAUGGUGAAAAAUAAAAUGCACAUGGUUUUUCCAGGCUUGCUACUAUUUUUUGAAAAAAAUUCAGCUUCAUUUACUGUUUAGGGCAGUUCUAGGAUGUUAGUAACAAAGAACGUUUACUUAUUAUAUAAUAGGCCAUGUAUUUCCGUCCUGCGGGUUAAUUUAAAGCAACUUGCCAUUUAGCAUUUUUGGAGUGUUUCUUAGUAUCAAUUUCCAGAGCUGGAAUGUUUUACCUACUUCAUUUACAAACCAAAUUAUUGGAAAAUGAGCCAUAUUUGAAGUCAAGAUGGACUGGUUACAAAGGGGCUUAUAAUUCAGCAAUAGGGCAACCCAAUACUAAAUGGAAGGUCCUAGGUUUGGUUUCUAGUUGGUCCAUAAAAAAAUUGACAUGGUAUCAGAGCAAAGGUCAGAGAGGCCAGGCCAAGCUAGGAUGUAAGAGCAUCUGCAGUGUGGCUCAACAGGGGUUGUUAAAAAGUGAGCCACACCCAAACUAAAUAUUGACUGGUCACAAAGCAGACCGGUUGCUAAAUGGUAGAGCACCCCAGCAGCAAAUGGAAGGAUUUAAGUUCAAAGCCUUACUGAUCUAUAAAAGAUUCAACACAAAUGUAUUGGUAUUUGAUACAAAUGAUAGUGCACAUCAUUUUGGCCUCAUCCCGUUGAAAGGAAACUAGAUCAUAUAUCUUGAUAUUUCCGAGUUGUAUAAUCAGCAAAAGCGCUCCAUCAAUAUUUGGGUCCAAGUUUCAUGGUUAUCAAGUGGGCAUUACUUUUGUUUGGAAUUUUUUAUCAUAUAUUGAUAACUAUUCACUACUCUCGAAUGACAGCGAUUUAUGUUGUUUUGUGCCAAGCUAUGGAUAUUAUUCAUAUGACAAAUUAUUAUUGUUCUAAUUUCA